RNAcentral lists this ribosomal RNA (610 nucleotides) under uncultured bacterium. RNAcentral describes it as "bacterial SSU rRNA". It matches the Rfam family "Bacterial small subunit ribosomal RNA", at positions 338 to 1416 of the family's 1533-position model. The record is from RNAcentral.
CCUACGGGAGGCAGCAGUGGGGAAGUAUUGCACAAUGGGCGAAAGCCUGAUGCAGCGACGCCGCGUGAGGGAUGACGGCCUUCGGGUUGUAAACCUCUUUCAGCAGGGAAGAAGCGAGAGUGACGGUACCUGCAGAAGAAGCGCCGGCUAACUACGUGCCAGCAGCCGCGGUAAUACGUAGGGCGCAAGCGUUGUCCGGAAUUAUUGGGCGUAAAGAGCUCGUAGGCGGCUUGUCACGUCGGGUGUGAAAGCCCGGGGCUUAACCCCGGGUCUGCAUUCGAUACGGGCUAGCUAGAGUGUGGUAGGGGAGAUCGGAAUUCCUGGUGUAGCGGUGAAAUGCGCAGAUAUCAGGAGGAACACCGGUGGCGAAGGCGGAUCUCUGGGCCAUUACUGACGCUGAGGAGCGAAAGACGUGGGGAGCGAACAGGAUUAGAUACCCUGGUAGUCCACGCCGUAAACGGUGGGAAACUAGGUAGUUGGCGACAAUUCCACGUCGUCGGUGCCGCAGCUAACGCAUUAAGUUACCCGCCUCGGGAGUACGGCCGCAAGGCUAAAACUUAAAGAAUAAGUAGACGUCGAGAGAGCGACCGAGACAACACGAAGGAGUAGG